Molecule: unclassified non-coding RNA, 206 nt
Filed under: Hevea brasiliensis (rubber tree)
Lineage: Eukaryota; Viridiplantae; Streptophyta; Magnoliopsida; Malpighiales; Euphorbiaceae
Source: RNAcentral
AUUUAACUGCUUGUUGCUGUAAAUUUUUCAAACCAAUUUAAUAUUUGUAGUUUUGUAUAAAAUUUUGUGCAUAGCUUUUGGCAUCUAUAUGAGGUAUUCCUUUUUGUUAUUAAUUUAAAUAUCAUCCUAAAUAUUUUCUAUCUCCCUAUAUUGUUUAUCGGCAUUUAAAUUUUGAUUUAUAAUAGUAUCUCAUUGCUUUAGUUUGU